Terrapene triunguis (Three-toed box turtle) is the source of this 637-nucleotide RNA transcript. It is a transcript of the gene named small integral membrane protein 11A, with no coding region annotated. The record is from RefSeq and is a predicted model, not a curated record. The transcript has 5 exons. NCBI's taxonomy places the organism in Eukaryota, Metazoa, Chordata, Testudines, Emydidae.
GUUUGUUUCCACUUCCCCUCUGUGUGUAAUGGCUGCCUGCUGCAAGAGUAUGGAGUAUGUGAGGGUCUGUCGGAGAGGCUGUUAAUACAUCUGCUCUCUACAACUCCAGAUGAAUCCGCCUCCACCAGUUUCUUAUAAAUCUGAUAAACGUUGCUGGGCUUAGACUGUGGUGUGAUCCGUGAUAUCAUCAGAGAUCCAAGAUGGUGGAAUUUAAUUGGAGGGUUUUGGAGAAUUUUCCACUGCUGAUGUACAUUUUGGCAGCUAAAACAUUAAUUCUUUGCUUGGCAUUUGCUGGAGUAAAAAUAUACCAGAGUAAAAAAAUUGAACAAAAAAUGAGAAAAGAACGUGAGGCAAAGCUGAAAAAGGAAGCAGAGAAGAAGGAAGACUGAAGAGGUGGCUCAGUCGGUGUGUGCUAACAGCAGGAGGGCAGUAUACUGUUAUAGCUCAUUAAUUUCCUGACAUUUCCUGCUCAUGUGGAUACCUUUCCCGGGAGGGUGAAGACUUCCCUUAGAUUGAACGAUGUGUCAAAGAAAUAAACCGUCCCCGAGCAGCAUUCACUUAAACUGCAUAUUGACUUUUUAAACAUGUAAUAAGAAUAUCCAUCCUCUCUUUAUUCAAUAAAGGUUCCUCAGUAGGA